This 73-nucleotide transfer RNA is filed under the name Leptocoris augur. Its description in RNAcentral is "tRNA-Lys". Lineage: Eukaryota; Metazoa; Arthropoda; Insecta; Hemiptera; Rhopalidae. The record is from RNAcentral.
CAUUAAGUGGCUGAAAUGUCAAGUAAUGGUCUCUUAAACCAAUCUAUAGUACAGUCACGUGUACUCUUAAUGA